RNAcentral lists this ribosomal RNA (261 nucleotides) under Oedalechilus labeo (boxlip mullet). Its description in RNAcentral is "partial 12S ribosomal RNA". It matches the Rfam family "Bacterial small subunit ribosomal RNA", at positions 862 to 1244 of the family's 1533-position model. Lineage: Eukaryota; Metazoa; Chordata; Actinopteri; Mugiliformes; Mugilidae. The record is from RNAcentral.
GGACUAUCCGCCCGGGUACUACGAGCUUUAGCUUAAAACCCAAAGGACUUGGCGGUGCUUAAGACCCACCUAGAGGAGCCUGUUCUAUAACCGAUACCCCCCGUUUAACCUCACCCUCUCUUGUUCAUACCGCCUAUAUACCGCCGUCGUCAGCUCACCCUGUGAAGGAUCUGUAGUAAGCAAAAUUGGCAUGGCCCAAAACGCCAGGUCGAGGUGUAGCGUAUGAGAGGGGAAGAUAAUGGGCUACAUUUCCUAACCAGG